CCUACGGGAGGCUGCAGUGGGGAAUAUUGCACAAUGGGCGCAAGCCUGAUGCAGCCAUGCCGCGUGUGUGAAGAAGGCCUUCGGGUUGUAAAGCACUUUCAGCGGGGAGGAAGGCGUUAAGGUUAAUAACCUUGGCGAUUGACGUUACCCGCAGAAGGAGCACCGGCUAACUCCGUGCCAGCAGCCGCGGUAAUACGGAGGGUGCAAGCGUUAAUCGGAAUUACUGGGCGUAAAGCGCACGCAGGCGGUCUGUCAAGUCGGAUGUGAAAUCCCCGGGCUCAACCUGGGAACUGCAUUCGAAACUGGCAGGCUAGAGUCUUGUAGAGGGGGGUAGAAUUCCAGGUGUAGCGGUGAAAUGCGUAGAGAUCUGGAGGAAUACCGGUGGCGAAGGCGGCCCCCUGGACAAAGACUGACGCUCAGGUGCGAAAGCGUGGGGAGCAAACAGGAUUAGAUACCCUUGUAGUC
This 465-nucleotide ribosomal RNA is filed under the name uncultured Klebsiella sp. RNAcentral's name for it is "bacterial SSU rRNA". It matches the Rfam family "Bacterial small subunit ribosomal RNA", at positions 338 to 795 of the family's 1533-position model. The record is from RNAcentral. Lineage: Bacteria; Pseudomonadati; Pseudomonadota; Gammaproteobacteria; Enterobacterales; Enterobacteriaceae.